Molecule: microRNA precursor, 73 nt
Filed under: Myotis brandtii (Brandt's bat)
Lineage: Eukaryota; Metazoa; Chordata; Mammalia; Chiroptera; Vespertilionidae
Description: mir-9193 microRNA precursor family
Rfam family: mir-9193 microRNA precursor family
Source: Rfam by way of RNAcentral
CUUGGGGGCAGGGGUCCCUCAGCCCAGAUUGUGAGAGGGCGCAGGCCAAACUGAGGGACCCCACUGGUGCAUG